CGAAACUCCGUUACAGAGCCUCAUCUACUCUCAAUCAAUGGUGUUCUUCAAUACAAUUUUAAUGGAUUCUUUAAGCAAAAAGUAGAACGAAAAACAAAAUAGAUAAAUUAUGUUUGUCAGGGAAAAAAUCCUAUAAAUAAGAGAAAUACUCCCACCGCUAUAUCUGUCACCAUUGUUGUGAAUCUUUUUUUUCUCCCCUUCUAAAAAACAGGUUUGAUUCUCUUUGCAGGAAAGAGACACACGAUAAACCGAUUUAUAAGCAAUUUUCUAUUUUUCAAUCCUCUUUUCAAAAAAGUCACCUUUUUUGUUGUCUUUCCAUUAGAUUAUGAUUCUCUCUACUGUAAUCAUUUUUAACCGUUUUCCUCUGCAUGCUUUUCGCUUUCUGUGUCUCUUUUACCUAAAAACGCCAUUUGAAUAAAAAUGGCGGUUUUGGAUUCUGGAGGCGUCGCUGUGCCGCCGACGGAUAAUGGCGUUGCGGAUCUCGAUAUGCUUCCUCGUCGUAAAUCGAGAUCAGAUUCUUCCAACGGACUUCUUUCUGAUUCCGUUUCCAUCACCGACGAUGUUGGAGCUACGGCGGCCGAAGAUGCGAUGGAUCCGGUUGCUUCCGCUGUUGAGGAGGAGGCUCAGGGAACAACGAAAUUAGCUGGCGGAGAUACCGAAACUAGGGAAUCCGGCGGAGGCGGCGAUGUAAAGUCCUCUUAGCUCUGACGCUAUCUUCACACAAGUAAUCGGGCUCAGAUUCCUUCAUUAUAUCAGGGAAUGCUUAUAGCUUGAGACUGUAUAACUUCUUGGUUCAAUACAUAUGGUACACAGAGGGUAUGAUGCUUUGAAAGUAAGUUUGUAACUAAUUGGAUUAUCAUGAGAGCAUCUAAUAUCCAAGGAGGGAGGAGGAUCGUAUGUUGGAGCAACGCUGCAUGCGUAAGAUCAUAACUUCAGCUCAAGAAACAAAGGUGCUGCAUCUUCUGAGAAAGUUAAUAUCAGUGUCUUCCGGGUAUAUAGUAUGGAGCUGGCGAGGAAAUGAUUGUCUAACUCCAUGCCGUGACCCUUUCUCUGUCUAUUUGGAAAAAAAUGCACCGUAGCUUCUGGAUGUGGUCACAAGUUCUGACCUAAGCACCAUAAGCAUAACAUCGUCAAAGACAUCACAAGCCACACUAGGGUCAUACCCUUGCCCUCUCUUUUUCUCGCUACGACAUUGUGUCUUUUACCAAACUUCCAAUACAACAACAAGACCAGCAACAUCUCAAGAACAAGUAUGCAGAAUGCAGCAAAGGCUCUAUACCACAAGUGGUUACUAAAAAUAAAUAGAAUAAGCAGUCAACUGAAACUCCUUCAGAAGCUUCUUUUUCUUCUACUCUCUAUGAAGUAGAGGAGGAUAUACCUGUUAAGAGUGGGCUAUAUGAGGUACCAUCGUUCUCUGCAGUGUUUUAGAGUUUUCAUGUAAACUUAAACAUGAACCUUUAGAAUCUUUAUAUCCAGUCUAUGUUUCUGGACCAAGGAACCGGAAUACUGUUGGUGAACUUGCUGAGGAGGCAUUGUUUCCCAUGUACUGGAAUGAAAAUAAUAAGUCUGUCCCUAGAGGUUGCAUAUUGUAACAAGGUUAGAUGUACUUCACUAGAGUUUGUAUCUACUUAUGAUCCAGAUUUUAGUAGAA
This is a long non-coding RNA of Brassica oleracea var. oleracea, 1651 nucleotides long. RefSeq lists it as uncharacterized. The transcript is spliced from 5 exons. Lineage: Eukaryota; Viridiplantae; Streptophyta; Magnoliopsida; Brassicales; Brassicaceae. The record is from RefSeq and is a predicted model, not a curated record.